Molecule: long non-coding RNA, 310 nt
Organism: Piliocolobus tephrosceles (Ugandan red Colobus)
Lineage: Eukaryota; Metazoa; Chordata; Mammalia; Primates; Cercopithecidae
Exons: 3
Source: RefSeq, a predicted model, not a curated record
CGGGCGCCGGCUGCAUUUUCGCGCGCGUGGGAAGAGUUGGUGGUGAAGAAGAACCCGGAAGUGCGCCAUCCUGCCUCCGUUCGUCCAAACAGGUUUCUGCAACAAUGGGCCUCUGCUUCAUCCUGGAAGGGUUACUCUUCAUUCCAGUUACAGUACAAUAGCAUCAGUUUGCAACUGAGACUGACAUAUCCAGCAGACCAAUUCUAUGAAUCAAGCGUAAAUGCCAUGCAGGAUAGAGAAGUAAAAAUCACUAUUUCCAGUCACUUGAAAUUAUUUUUCUUUGUUGGUUGAGUUGUAACUAAGUAUAUGG